Molecule: long non-coding RNA, 353 nt
Filed under: Ananas comosus (pineapple)
Lineage: Eukaryota; Viridiplantae; Streptophyta; Magnoliopsida; Poales; Bromeliaceae
Description: long non-coding RNA (ACOM_LNC001512)
Source: RNAcentral
UUUAAUUAAAUACUACAAAAAAAAAUGUUUUAUACGAUGUUUUUAAGACGAUACUUUAUUCUAGCGUCUUCAAUAUUUGGCAUGUGACGACACUAUGAUUAAGCAUCACCAAUAAACAUAUUUUUAUUAAAUACUGAUAAUAAUUUUAGACGCUAUAUUAAAGUAUCGGUAUAUUUAUCCCGACAUAUUUACUUAACGACUCCUUACUCGAUGCUUUUAUAAGCGUCGGGAUUAUUCUUGCUUACAUUUUAAAACAUCAUUAGUUAUUGCUCUUAAGUACAAGAUUUGUUGUAGUGAAAGCAUAUAUAUUAGUUUUAAUUAACUAUUCCUACUCAAAAUCCCAACAACUACAU